RNAcentral lists this non-coding RNA (197 nucleotides) under Mycobacterium avium. The record is from RNAcentral. Lineage: Bacteria; Bacillati; Actinomycetota; Actinomycetes; Mycobacteriales; Mycobacteriaceae.
AAGAGGGAACCCGGUGGGAGUCCGGGACUGUCCCGCAGCGGUAUGCAGGAACGACCGCCGUCACGAGCACUGGUCUGGCGAAAAGACUGGGAAGCGACGGCCAUUAGGAACUGCCCGGCUCCUCAGCGGCCCUUCCGGGCCGCAUCGUCGGCCGGGCGUGAGCACCACCUGGUGCGCGCCUGCGAGUCCGAAGACCU